UUAAAAGGAGAUAGAAAAACUCUAAUGUUUGUUUGAUCUUCUCACACUUGUUCUUGCCUCCAAAAGUAGUUUUAGAAAAACUUAGAACAAUCUUGGGCGAGUUUCUAAAGCUUAUAAGGGUUUACAAAAGUUUCCCCGAAAUUACACUUUGGUCCUCAAACUUCCAGCAGCGUGAACAGUGCACCGCGGUCGCGGUCGACCGCGGUGAGAGCUGACCUUUCUGCCUCACGAGUUUAAUCUAUCGCGGUGGACUUCUUGCCCAGGCCAUUUUCUGCUUCUUAGUGCUCGGGUACUUCUCGAGUGGGCGUUUUCUUCACAUUAUUGCCUCCAAAACACUCCAUGUUGCUUCCUCUCAUAUAAUAUUCCCUGCGAAACAAAAGAACACUAUUCAGAGCAUUUUUGUUGGCAAUUUUUCUAUAAAACAACCACGAAGUAUGGUCAUAUUAAGGUGUAAAUAUCAACUAUAUAGCCUACUAUCAAACAUCAAAUUAUCGAGUAGCAAAAACUUCUUACUUACUUGCGGUUUAUCCACCUC
RNAcentral lists this long non-coding RNA (535 nucleotides) under Nicotiana tabacum (common tobacco). RNAcentral's name for it is "long non-coding RNA (NTAB_LNC011733)". The record is from RNAcentral. Lineage: Eukaryota; Viridiplantae; Streptophyta; Magnoliopsida; Solanales; Solanaceae.